UGGCGUGUAGCUCAGUUGGUAGAGCGCGUGGCUGUUAACCACGAUGUCGCGGGUUCGAGUCCGGCCAUGCCAGCAA
RNAcentral lists this transfer RNA (76 nucleotides) under Subtercola vilae. Its description in RNAcentral is "tRNA-Asn". It matches the Rfam family "tRNA". Rfam says of the family: Transfer RNA (tRNA) molecules are approximately 80 nucleotides in length. Their secondary structure includes four short double-helical elements and three loops (D, anti-codon, and T loops). Further hydrogen bonds mediate the characteristic L-shaped molecular structure. tRNAs have two regions of fundamental functional importance: the anti-codon, which is responsible for specific mRNA codon recognition, and the 3' end, to which the tRNAs corresponding amino acid is attached (by aminoacyl-tRNA synthetases). tRNAs cope with the degeneracy of the genetic code in two manners: having more than one tRNA (with a specific anti-codon) for a particular amino acid; and 'wobble' base-pairing, i.e. permitting non-standard base-pairing at the 3rd anti-codon position. Lineage: Bacteria; Bacillati; Actinomycetota; Actinomycetes; Micrococcales; Microbacteriaceae. The record is from RNAcentral.